RNAcentral lists this long non-coding RNA (4043 nucleotides) under Citrus x clementina. Its description in RNAcentral is "Citrus clementina (C. clementina) long non-coding RNA (CCLE_LNC006160)". Lineage: Eukaryota; Viridiplantae; Streptophyta; Magnoliopsida; Sapindales; Rutaceae. The record is from RNAcentral.
CGGGCGCUUAUUUUUGGGCGCGGCUUUGCCCGCGGCUUAUUUUUGACGCCCCGAGGCCCCUCGCAAAGUCUCGCCCCAUUCCGAGUCCGGCGGACGAACUUCGCCAGCGCCCCCCACCAAGGCUAUAGCCCACCCAUUUUAUGGCCAUUUUUCCGCUGGGGGGUUUUGGCACCACGACCUUCGGUCGCUUAUUUUUGGGCACGGCUGUGCCCGCGACUUCCCGCUUGCACCCCGAGGCCCCUCGCAAAGUCUCGCCCCAUUCCGAGUCCGGCGGAUGAACUUCGCCCGCGCCCCCCACCAAGGCUAUAGCCCACCCAUUUUUUGGCCAUUUUUCCGCUGGGGGGUUUUGGCACCACGACCUUCGGGCGCUUAUUUUUGGGCGCGGCUGUGCCCGCGACUUCCCGCGGGCACCCCGAGGCCCCUCGCAAAGUCUCGCCCAAUUCCAAGUCCGGCGGACGAACUUCGCCCGUGCCCCCCACCAGGGCUAUAGCCCACCCAUUUUAUGGCCAUUUUUCCGCUGGGGGGUUUUGGCACCACGACCUUCGGGCGCUUAUUUUUGGGCACUACUGUGCCCGCGACUUCCCGCUUGCACCCCGAGGCCCCUCGCAAAGUCUCGCCCAAUUCCGAGUCCGGCGGACGAACUUCGCCCGCGCCCCCCACCAAGGCUAUAGCCCACCCGUUUUUUGGGCAUUUUUCCGCUGGGGGGUUUUGGCACCACGAUCUUCGGGCACUUAUUUUUCGGCACGGCUUUGCCCACGGCUUAUUUUUGGUGCCCCGAGGCCCCUCGCAAAGUCUCGCCCCAUUCCGAGUCCGGCGGACGAACUUCGCCCGCGCCCCCCACCAAGGCUAUAGCCCACCCAUUUUUUGGCCAUUUUUCCACUGGGGGGUUUUGGCACCACGACCUUCGGGCGCUUAUUUUUGGGCGCGGCUGUGCCCGCGACUUCCCGCGGGCACCCCGAGGCCCCUCGCAAAGUCUCGCCCAAUUCCAAGUCCGGCGGACGAACUUCGCCCGCCCCCCCCACCAAGGCUAUAGCCCACCCGUUCUUUGGUCAUUUUUCCGCUGGGGGGUUUUGGCACCACGACCUUGGGGCGCUUAUUUUUGGGCGCGGCUGUGCCCGCGACUUCCCGCGGGCACCCCGAGGCCCCUCGCAAAGUCUCGCCCCAUUCCGAGUCCGGCGGACGAACUUCACCCGCGCCCCCCACCAAGGCUAUAGCCCACCCGUUUUUUGACCAUUUUUCCGCUGGGGGGUUUUGGGACCACGACCUUCGUUCGCUUAUUUUUGGGCGCGGCUGUUCCCGCGACUUCCCGUGGGCACCCCGAGGCCCCUCGCAAAGUCUCGCCCCAUUCCGAGUCUGGCGGACGAACUUCGCCCGCGCCCCCCACCAAGGCUAUAGCCUACCCGUUUUUUGGCCAUUUUUCCGCUGGGGGGUUUUGGCACCACGACCUUCGGGCGCUUAUUUUUGGGCGCGGCUUUGCCCGUGGCUUAUUUUUGGCGCCCCGAGGCCCCUCGCAAAGUCUCGCCCCAUUCCGUGUCCGGCGGACGAACUUCGCCCGCGCCCCCCACCAAGGCUAUAGCCCACCCAUUUUUUGGCCAUUUUUCCGCUGGGGGGUUUUGGCACCACGACCUUCGGGCGCUUAUUUUUGGGCGUGGCUGUGCCCGCGACUUCCCGCGGGCACCCCGAGGCCCCUCGCAAAGUCUCGCCCAAUUCCGAGUCCGGCGGACGAACUUCGCCCGCGCCCCCCACCAAGGCUAUAGCCCACCCGUUUUUUGGCCAUUUUUCCGCUGGGGGGUUUUGGCACCACGACCUUCGGGCGCUUAUUUUUGGGCGCGGCUGUGCCCGCGACUUCCCGCGGGCACCCCGAGGCCCCUCGCAAACUCUCGCCCAAUUCCAAGUCCGGCGGACGAACUUCGCCCGCCCCCCCCACCAAGGCUAUAGCCCACCCGUUCUUUGGUCAUUUUUCCGCUGGGGGGUUUUGGCACCACGACCUUGGGGCGCUUAUUUUUGGGCGCGGCUGUGCCCGCGACUUCCCGCGGGCACCCCGAGGCCCCUCGCAAAGUCUCGCCCCAUUCCGAGUCCGGCGGACGAACUUCACCCGCGCCCCCCACCAAGGCUAUAGCCCACCCGUUUUUUGGCCAUUUUUCCGCUGGGGGGUUUUGGUACCACGACCUUCGUUCGCUUAUUUUUGGGCGCGGCUGUGCCCGCGACUUCCCGUGGGCACCCCGAGGCCCCUCGCAAAGUCUCGCCCCAUUCCGAGUCUGGCGGACGAACUUCGCCCGCGCCCCCCACCAAGGCUAUAGCCUACCCGUUUUUUGGCCAUUUUUCCGCUGGGGGGUUUUGGCACCACGACCUUCGGGCGCUUAUUUUUGGGCGCGGCUUUGCCCGUGGCUUAUUUUUGGCGCCCCGAGGCCCCUCGCAAAGUCUCGCCCCAUUCCGAGUCCGGCGGACGAACUUCGCCCACGCCCCCCACCAUGGCUAUAGCCCACCCGUUUUUUGGCCAUUUUUCCGCUGGGGGGUUUAGGCACCACGACUUCGGGGCGCUUAUUUUGGGCGCGGCUGGCCCGGCGACUUCCCGCGGGCACCCCGAGGCCCGUCGCAAAGUCUCGCCCCAUUCGGAGUCCGGCGGAUGAACUUCGCCCGCGCCCCCCACCAAGGCUAUAGCCCACCCGUUUUUUGGCCAUUUUUCCGCUGGGGGGUUUUGGCACCACGACCUUCGGGCACUUAUUUUUGGGCGCGGCUUUGCCCGCGGCUUAUUUUUGGCGCCCCGAGGCCCCUCGCAAUGUCUCGCCCCAUUCCGAGUCCGGCGGACGAACUUCGCCCGCGCCCCCCACCAAGGCUAUAGCCCACCUUUUUCGUGGCCAGUUUUCCGCUGCGGGGCUUUGGCACCACGACUUUCGGGCGUGGCUGUGCCCGCUACUUCCCGCGGGCACCCCGAGGCCACUCGCAAAGUCUCGCCCAAUUCCGAGUCCGGCGGAUGAACUUCGCCCGCGCCCCCCACCAAGGCUAUAGCCCACCCGUUUUUUGGCCAUUUUUCCGCUGGGGGGUUUUGGCACCACGACCUUCGGGCACUUAUUUUUGGGUGCGGCUUUGCCCGCGGCUUAUUUUUGGCGCCCCGAGGCCCCUCGCAAAGUCUCGCCCCAUUCCGAGUCCGGCGGACGAACUUCGCCCGCGCCCCCCACCAAGGCUAUAGCCCACCCGUUUUUUGGCCAUUUUUCCGCUGGGGGGUUUUGGCACCACGACAUGCGGGCGCUUAUUUUUGGGCGCGGCUUUUCCCGCUGCUUAUUUUUGGCGCCCCGAGGCCCCUCGCAAAGUCUCGCCCCAUUCCGAUUCCGGCGGACGAACUUCGCCCGCGCCCACCACCAAGGCUAUAGCCCACCCGUUUUUUGGCCAUUUUUCCGCUGGGGGGUUUUUGCACCACGACCUUCGGGCGCUUUUUUUUGGGCGCGGCUUUGCCCGCGGCUUAUUUUUGGCGCCCCGAGGCCCCUCGCAAAGUCUCGCCCCAUUCCGAGUCCGGCGGAUGAACUUCGCCCGCGCCCCCCACCAAGGCUAUAGCCCACCCGUUUUUUGGCCAUUUUUCCGCUGGGGGGUUUUUGCACCACGACCUUCGGGUGCUUAUUUUUGGGCGCGGCUUUACCCGCGGCUUAUUUUUGGCGCCCCGAGGCCCCUCGCAAAGUCUCGCCCCAUUCCGAGUCCGGCGGACGAACUUCGCCCGCGCCCCCCACCAAGGCUAUAGCCCACCCGUUUUUUGGCCAUUUUUCCGCUGGGGGGUUUUGGCACCAUGACCUUCGGGCGCUUAUUUUUGGGCGCGGCUUUGCCCGUGGCUUAUUUUUGGCGCCCCGAGGCCCCUCGCAAAGUCUCGCCCCAUUCCGAGUCCGGCGGACAAACUUCGCCCGCGCCCCCCACCAAGGCUAUAGCCCACCCGUUUUUUGGCCAUUUUUCCGCUGGGGGGUUCUGGCACCACCACCUUCGGGCGCUUAUUUAUGGGUGCGGCUUUGCACGUGGUUUAUUUUUGGCGCCCCGAGGCCCCUCGCAAAGUCUCGCCC